Molecule: long non-coding RNA, 1075 nt
Filed under: Mus musculus (house mouse)
Lineage: Eukaryota; Metazoa; Chordata; Mammalia; Rodentia; Muridae
Description: long non-coding RNA chr13:53185865-53186940
Source: RNAcentral
GUGUAAAUCCCAGUCCAAUCUUCAGAUAUAUGAAGCCCUGGGGCCUCAGUAUUCUCAUCUGUUAAACGGGGGAUGCUGCCUUGCCCAGCUCACAUGCUAAAAUGUUUAUAAAACCAAAAAAAUUGAAAGUAGUAGAUAGCAUAAUGAAGAAAGAAAACUCUGUGGUCCAUUUAACAAGAUCAUAAACACAACAUGCAUGUACCAAAUAUACAAAUCACAAACUGACACACAAUACGCAACACACACACACACAAAACACACAUGCACCAAAUAUACAUAUCACAAACUGACAUACAAUACACAACACACACACAAAACACACAUGCACCAAAUAUACAUAUCACAAACUGACAUACAAUACACAACACACACACAAAACACACAUGCACCAAACAUCCAACACACACACACACACAAUAUUUUAGACGUUUUCUUUCUGGCUUCUCAAAUUGUAUUAUAUACCUUACAUAUUGGUAUAAUAAUUGGUACAAUUGUUAUAAAAUGAGAGUCCUUUUGCAAAGUAUUUUUCAUAAUUGGCAACAAUAACAUCAUUCUAUUAAUAACAUUGUCACACACCCCCUCAGGAUUCCAUCUUGCAGGUAAUUUUUGCAUAUACUCAAUAUGCCCCUAUAUGCCUGGCACAGUGCCUCGGGGUUAAACACACUUCCAGUGUGUCAACUGAUGAGAGUAAUGCUGUGUGAUACAAACAUUCCUAUAUCUGCAUGAAUGUGUAUUAUACUAAGGAUUCUUGCUGUAUCAUUUUUUUUUAAGUUUGGCAUUUUGCACAUCUAACAUCUCUAUGUCAGAGCCAUAGCUUGUUCUGCGUGUCAGCUGGACUCACUUGGGAAGAGGAUGCCUCUGCUGUGGAAUUGCCUUCAUCUGGCCUGUGGGCAUGCUCACUGAUGUAGAAGGGUCUAGCCCACCGGGGGAAGUGCCAUCCCCUAGGCAGAUAGGUCUGGGCUGUAUAAAACCCAGAUGAUGUCAUGAGGUGUGUCUUGUUUUCUUUUCUGGGUCAAGCCCCCUGAUGGUGUAUCCAUUCCCAAAUGGUCAGCCCUAAAUACAUACAAUGAACACU